Long non-coding RNA from Andrographis paniculata, 1644 nucleotides. RefSeq lists it as uncharacterized. NCBI's taxonomy places the organism in Eukaryota, Viridiplantae, Streptophyta, Magnoliopsida, Lamiales, Acanthaceae. The record is from RefSeq and is a predicted model, not a curated record. The transcript is spliced from 3 exons.
UCACUCUCUCGGUAUUCUUCUUCAAAUCGCCUUUUUCAUCAAACUUGUUCACUCGUUCCUCGACGGUUUUCAAUUCGUAUUUAACUUCGAUUCUUUGUCUUCAACUUCUUCAACCCGUUGCGUCAUUUCAAAUCGACGACACGGAUGCGCUCAUAGUUGUCAAUUUCUUCAUCGCCGGUGCUCCUAUGUUUCGAUUUGGAGAAGCCCUAUAUUGAGUUCGCGAUGCCCUAGUUCAAUUAAUCCCAACUCGUCGAAAGUGAUCAACAAUGUCGAAGGACCCUAUCGUUCAACUACCAUGCGUUCCUAGGAAAGUCGUUCACCUCAACGAAUCUUUACAGCAACCUUAUCGUUAGUCGAUUAGGAGGUAUAUUCAAUCUAGUCCUUUCAAAGGAUUAUUCCAUGUGAAACUGAUGCCUAUUCAUGUGGCUCCAAUUAUGCAAUUAUUGAGUUAUUGGGACCCUGAUAGCGAAUGCUUUCAUCUAUCUAAUGGGAAUAGAUGGUAUUUACGAAUCGGGAUAUUGUUGUUGUGUAUGGGCUGCCAUAUGGGAAAAAUAAGGAACCUAUUUCUUUGUAUGAGUCUGAUUCUUGGUACAGUUUUGCCGAUAGAGUUGGAUUAGAUAUGAAACUCAUAGGUGGGGAUAAGAAACAUAUUGUUGAGCCUUUGUUAAAAGAGUUACUGGACAGUGGCAGGCUAAGGAGUGAUGUUAAUUUUUGGUGAAUAUAUGUCAUGUACUGCAUGUGUGUCUUGCUUACGCCCAUAUCCAAUUCGAAGAUUAAUCAUUGUAUAUUCCAGUUCCUUGAGUCCAAUGAGUUGGAAAGUGAGUUCAAUUAGGUUGAUUUUGUGAGGGAUAAGAUUGUGGAAGAUUUGGACGCGAUGUCCAAAAAAUUCAAGAAGAAAACACUGGUCACAGGAAGGCCAUCCGGAGAUAUGCAUUGUUUAAUGAUAAAUUAAAAUAUUGUAAUCUUUUUGCUUACUUUUUUGUUUUAUUGUUCUCUUUGUGUAAUAUUCUAUUUUUCUGUUUUUAGCAUAUAUUUUUUGACAAGUUCCAUAGUGAGAAAUGCGGAGGCAUUCUUUUUCAUGCCAUCUUACACGAAAACUAAUAUUGGAAGAUGUUUCAAAGCUUUUCAACCCUCAAAAUGUUCGAUCCUCAAAGGAGGAUGAUCAUGAAAAAUCAUUACAAUGGUACAAGAAUGAGAUUUCCGGGGCGUGCAAAAUUCUUUACAAUUUAAGACAAGAAUACAACAAGUUUGAGGGUCGUGAGGAUGACAUUUCUGAUGACAGCAAAAUAGCAGAAGAAGAAGAUCAUCAUGAAAAAAUGUUGAGAAAGUGAUUUCAAUCGUAUGAGUUUAUAGUUUUAAUGUUGUUCUGUUAUAAAUCCAUUUCUUUUCUUGUACAAUUGCAAUGCAUACUUUCAAUUCCUUUGGGUUCUUGAAAAUAUGAAGGAUGGUAUGGAUGGCGAGCUGCACACGCUGGAAGCUAUUAUUUUGGUGGUGCUGGAGUUAGCAUUCAGUGGUAUUAAAGUCAGAACAAUGGUGUAUAUAAGCGUUAAUCCUGAUUAUUGUAUAGGAAUUUAUUGAGUGUGAUUUGCCCCUGCGGGGGAUAGUUGUCCAUGAAGAAGAAGGUCUUCAUGAAAAGAAUGUAGA